AUCCGGCAGACGCGUCCCAAAUACGACGAAACGCGCGUCAAAUUGGAU
RNAcentral lists this non-coding RNA (48 nucleotides) under Schistosoma mattheei. Lineage: Eukaryota; Metazoa; Platyhelminthes; Trematoda; Strigeidida; Schistosomatidae. The record is from RNAcentral.